AGUGAACGCUGGCGGCAGGCCUAACACAUGCAAGUCGAACGGCAGCACACUAAGUGCUUGCUCUUACGGGUUGCGAGUGGCGGACGUGUGAGGAAUACAUCCUAAUCUACUUUUUCGUGGGGGAUAACGUAGGUAAACUUACUCUAAUACCGCAUACGCCCUACGGUUGAAAGCAUUGGAUCUUCUCACCUUGCGCGAUUGAAUGAGCCGCUGUGGGAUUUGAUAGUUGGCGGGUUAAUGGCCCACCAAUUCGACGAUCCGUAGCUGGUCUGAGAGGAUGGUCAGCCGCACGGGAGCGGGGACACGGUCCAGGGGCCUAAGGGAGGGAGCAGUGGGGAAUAUUAGGCAAUGGGGGGAAGCAUGGUCCAGUCAGAGCGCGUGGGUUGAGAAGGCGUUCGGGUUGUAAAGACGGUUUGUUGGGAAAGAAAAGCAGCAGGUUGAGACGCAGCUGGUCUGACGGUAACGAAAGAAUAAGCACCGGCUAACUUCGUG
Molecule: ribosomal RNA, 492 nt
Filed under: uncultured bacterium
Lineage: Bacteria
Description: partial 16S ribosomal RNA
Rfam family: Bacterial small subunit ribosomal RNA
Source: RNAcentral